GAUCAUAGGCUCAGGAUGAACGCUAGCGGCAGGCUUAACACAUGCAAGUCGAGGGGCAGCGGGGAGUAGCAAUACUCCGCCGGCGACCGGCGCACGGGUGCGUAACGCGUAUGCAACCUACCUUUAACAGGGGCAUAACACUGAGAAAUUGGUACUAAUUCCCCAUAACAUUCGAGAAGGCAUCUUCUUGGGUUAAAAACUCCGGUGGUUAAAGAUGGGCAUGCGUUGUAUUAGCUAGUUGGUGAGGUAACGG
This 253-nucleotide ribosomal RNA is filed under the name uncultured bacterium. RNAcentral's name for it is "partial 16S ribosomal RNA". It matches the Rfam family "Bacterial small subunit ribosomal RNA", at positions 15 to 263 of the family's 1533-position model. The record is from RNAcentral.